Corticium candelabrum is the source of this 441-nucleotide long non-coding RNA. RefSeq lists it as uncharacterized. The record is from RefSeq and is a predicted model, not a curated record. The transcript has 3 exons. Lineage: Eukaryota; Metazoa; Porifera; Homoscleromorpha; Homosclerophorida; Plakinidae.
AACCUCGUACCAGACCCUCUUCCUACGUUAUGGGGCAGAUUAGAAAGAAACAUACGCUCUCGCAUACUCUUUGGAGUCCAGAUCGAAUGGUUGCGGAGCACGUGCUGAAUAAUGGCGGAGUUGCAGGGGCACGUCAAAAAGAAGAAGAAAGCAAAGAAAGACGUAGAAACACAGGAGGCUAUUGGAGAAGAGCAAACAACUGGUGAUUUUGUCAUCAAGCCCGAGUCGACAGUGCCUAGGCUUUCAACGGAGCAUUGGCCGUUGUUGCUAAAGGUAAGGUUGCAACUCGCGUAGCACACUGGAGCCAUGUUCCAAGGGUAUAAACAACGUGGGGCUGAAGCCGUCCACUUUUGAGUCUUUAUUACAUAACAUCAUGGUAACUGUUAAGAAUUUAAUUGUAACUAGUUGUACGGUAUCCGGAGGCGCCUCACGUUUGCGGCA